AGGUUCUUUUCAGUAUCCAGACACUGGAAUAGGCAGUGAAACAGUUUUUAACUUUGUGGCCCUCUGUGGAGAAAUACAUUGGAAAUUACAUUACUCUGGAGUGCUUUGCCUUGAAUAAAAUUACUUGCUUCAACUUUGGGAGGGGGUGGAGGGGGAAACAUUGUGGAGAGACUUUUUUCCCAACUGGCUCUAGUAAGGAAUGCUAUAGCUCAGGACCUGAGCACUCUGGAUUCAGCACAGACCAACAAGGUAGUUAACAGCAAACAGAAGGUCCUGAAAUGUCCCCUAGGCUGUGACAGGGGCAUCAGAGGAGCAGAGUCAAAGCUGGGCCAUCUGCACAUGAAUAAAACUUCUAUUUGUACCUAAGGGUCUGCAGAAUGAAAGGCUGAAAGUAGCAAGGGGAAACAGCUGCAGCAUUUUGCAGUUGCAAUUUUGCAACUGGUAGCUGCAAGCAGUUGAGUUGGAAAGAUAAAGUUGCAUUUUGCUCAGAAUCAGUGGUGUAGUGCUCCUUCUCCUUUUUUUUUUUUUUUUUUUUUUUUUGGUUUGGUGGUUUUUUUCCUUACCUGCCUGCCUUAAACUCUCUCUCUAUUACAACAGUGCUGUGCAGAGUUAGAGUCUGGCUCCGCUCUGCUGCCCACAUUAGCUGAACACGUAAAAGGGAAGCAGCUCCACUGCUCCAAAAGACCAUGGAAUGAAGGACCCACCUCAUGCUCUGACUUUCCCUGGGCACUGCCCUCGGGUGCUUCACACUGGCACAACUCCCCUCUGCUAGAUGCUCUGAGCUUGGAGACCUGCUGCCCAAAUAACCCUCCUGGGCACAGCCGGGACCAGCCUUGCAGGCAGAGCUCUGGCAGCUGCACCUUGGAGAGGUAUGAUGUGGGACACCUGUCCAGCUCAGAUGUGACAUCAGGAGAAUGCAGGUGGAAAAUAUGCUCUGCUGAUGACUACACUGAUGCAG
RNAcentral lists this long non-coding RNA (958 nucleotides) under Serinus canaria (Common canary). RNAcentral describes it as "lncRNA (ENSSCAG00000009158.1)". Lineage: Eukaryota; Metazoa; Chordata; Aves; Passeriformes; Fringillidae. The record is from RNAcentral.